Chelonia mydas (Green sea turtle) is the source of this 4254-nucleotide long non-coding RNA. RefSeq lists it as uncharacterized. NCBI's taxonomy places the organism in Eukaryota, Metazoa, Chordata, Testudines, Cheloniidae. The record is from RefSeq and is a predicted model, not a curated record. The transcript has 2 exons.
UUAGAAUAAAAAUACAUGUUGUGGUACAAUGAUAAAAAGAAAAAUGAUGAAAAGUAACAACUGCAAAUACUGACCAUUCACAAACCUCUGUGUAGCCUUAGAUAAAAUGGCACCAUUGUAUUUUGAUGAUUAAUCUGCAAAACUAUUGUUUUGAAGUCAAAUUGUUUAGAAUUGCUUCUGAAACCAGAUUUGAGACUAAUGGUUCAUUGUAGUGUUAAGGUACGGUCCACAGUAGGGAGUGGUGCAGAUGUGAACUGCCAACCAUUUUGCCCCAGUGAGCAUGUGAUCUCUAUCACUUUUUGGAUGCAUAGCUCCUUCUCUCUUCAGAUCAGUCACUCGUGGGCAGACUCCCUCUGAAUCUGUGCAAGGCUGGGCAUGGUUGCACCCUUCUUCUUUGCAAAUAAAGAUUUUAAUUGUCUUUUGUGGGGGUGUGAGGAAUUCAGAUUAUUCGAGAAUAUAAUUUACUUACCCAUCUUCAAAAAUGCAUAAUUUUGUUGCUAGUUACACUUCUUCCUUAAGACUCCUUUUUGUAAAAGUAUUUGUAAAAUUGUUUUUACAUAACCUAAGAAUGAUACAUCAAUACCUCUAGCAUAUUGCAACAUAUGUUCAUGUUGCAAGGGUCAUAUACUCUGACAUUCUCUGUAAAAUUGUGAUUACAGGAAUUCCUUUUAGCUGAUGUAGAAGCAAAUCCCUUAAUUCAUUUACCCGAGAUACUUUUUAAAAAUCAAAACUAGGAAUAAAGUGAAGAGAUGCUGAAUAAAAUACUACAUUGCAGUCAGUGUAGUAGUAAAAUUGCUCCCAUAUGAUUUUAAAGUGAAACAGUUGUUUGUAUGUAUAGUGUUUUAUACAGUAUCAAAGGGUGACACCUAGUGGUGAUUAUUUUGGUCUAUGGAGACUGUACUGGUAUUUCAGAUGCUGGGCUUGACUCUCCUCUUCCUUGUGUUUUGUGCAGUCACUUACAUCUUUACAAUGUAGGUAUAAAAAUAUUACCAAAUCAGAAUUCUGCACUCACACCUAUAAUACCAUUUUACACCCACUUGGCACAGGUAUAAAUGACUAACUAAGGCUCAAGGCAGUGGAGAAUCUGAUCAUUGCAAGAACCUAGAAUGUAUUAUUCACAUACAUAACUUUGUCAAGAUAGUCUUACUGAAAAGUUACAAGCUAAAUUCAAUAGCAGCAUUAAAUCAAUUAGUAUAAAAGAUUGUUUAGCAAUGCUUAUGUAGAAACAAAACGGAAAUUUUUUAGCAUUCAGCCCGAUUCCAAUUGGAAUAUAGGUGGGAAAAUAGAUGUGUUCUUAAACAUAUAGCUGUUUGGGGUUUUUUUCCCCUCGUGUAGGCUGCUUUCUUAGUCGAGACCCAGAUACUAUCUCUUGUAGUAAGCUAUAACACCGCAGGCAUAACUCCAGAGCAGUACUGGCUCAGGUUGACUAUGGAAUAUUUUGGGGAAUACAUCUUGAAAAUGAAAACUUUGCUUAAAAAGACCUGAAUAGUUCCUAAAACUGUUCGAACCAGUUGAAAUUGAAUCCCAUAAUGUAUUAACUACAUCCCAUUUUCAGAAAGAUUUUGCACAAACCAAUUUAUAAGAAAGGAAUAGUGCGUGCUGUUGUGAAAUAGCUGCUUGCCAUCCAUGUGCAUAUAUCUUAUAAUGGUGCACCGAGGAAUGUGAUGUUCAAAGUAAAUCCCACAUUUUCUACCUGGGUCUGUAUACAUUAAAACUUUUUAAAAUGUGUGUUAGUUCAAAAGGUACAGUUUAUAUUGGCUUAGUAUUAUUGUAAAAAAGGAACAGUGGACUUGAUUCUUGACUGUGCAUAGUGCUGUGCAUAGGAAAGAAAUGAGGGCUUUAAACCACCUUUAUGCUCCCUUUAUAUAUGUGCUGUCCAGGGCUUGGCCGGCCAUUGUUGUACUUUAGAGGAAAUUCGCGGCUGCUCUGAUUUUGAGUCCUGGCUGCGGUGGCCUCCUGGCAGCCCAGGAUAGCUAGAAUGGACUAUACUCUGGCUGCACCACCUCUCCAACUCCCUACUCUUUGCACAUCCCAUACUUCUGGAGUAGUACAGGGUGAUUGUGACAACUCCAUGCUGCCUAGGCUACCCUCUGACAUGGGCUGUUUACCUCUCCUUUAUGCUCCCAGAGUGAAUUAAAUUGAGGACAGGGUGAAAUCAGCUCCAUUUUCUUCCUUUAGUAUAUUACUGUUGAGAAACAUAUGUUCUUUGAGUAGUGUCCCUAUGGUUACUCCACUGUAGGCGUGUCUGUGUCCCAGCGCUACUGGUUGGAGAACGUUGGUAGCAGUCUGUCCAACCCGUGCAUGCGCUGCUCCUCACCUGCCACGAGGUUAGCCACCGUUAGCAGGUGAACCUCGUCAGUUCCUUCUCAACCACCCCUGGCUAGAGAAGGAGCUAGAGCUGUCCAUUCGUGGAUCGUUACCUCCCUCUAGAUUUACUAAAUUUAGCUUCCCUUGAAGCUUUUUUCUUUGUUACUACUUUUACGUAUUAUUUGGCCAUGCCUUAAAACAAAAACCGACAACAAAGAAGUUUGCCUCCCGCCAACCCUGGUAACAUCGAGAACCCCCACCCCACACACUGCACCCCCUGCCCGGAAUAGCCCAGAGCGCCUCCCCUCUCGGCUAGAGGAGCCCCGAAACAGCGAAAGUCCUGACCCCUCCCAGCCCCCAACCCAGAGGAGCCCCAGGCUGGUCGAUGCCCCAAACCUCUCCUCCUCCCCACCCGGACGACUCCUGGGCUAGAGGACAAGAGGAAAAGCAUGAUCCCAUAUGGUCCAGGCAGAUGUGGUACCCUUACUGUCACAGGUGGCAUUAUGUCUACUGAUGACUCUCCAUCACACCUCACCUCCUGUCGCACAACGAGAGAUGCACUCUCCAUCCCAACUUACAGAGUUUGCUACUCAAAGCAUGGCUCCUUCAUGCUUCUAGCACACAGGGACAUCUUGCUCUGAGGAGGUACAGGAGGUGCUGUUACACAAUAGAGAAGGAACUACUCAUCAUACCUGUCUGCAAAAAUGGAAGAGAUUCCAGAUCUGGUGCCAGCCUAAAGAUGUCACCCCUAAUACAGCCACCCUACCGGUAGUCCUGGACUACCUACUGGCUCUCAAGAAAUUGGGUCUCUCUGUUAGUGCGCUAGAGGUUCAUUUAGCAGCAGUUGCAACCUUCCAUCAACAGGUAGGUUACUCAGUCUUUUCCCAUCUGACUACAAAGAGGUUUCUCACAGGCAUAACGAACCUCUUUCCACCACCCAGACUUCCCACUCCUCAAUGGGAUCUCAACCAAGUGCUAAAAGGGUUGACUAGACUGCAAUUUGAACCUAUGGCCACUUGUUCAUUAACUUGCCUUUCCAUGAAGAUGGUGUUCCUGAUUGCCAUUACCUCUGCAAGAAGGGUAGGGGAAAUAGCGGCUCUGAUGGCUCCUCCCCCUUUCACUGUGUUAUUCCCUGACAAGGUCAUGCUGAGACCACAUCCAAAGUUCACUCCCAAGAUGUCUUCUGCAUUCUACAUAAAUCAGCUUAUUUGGCUUCCAGCCUUUUAUCCCAAACCUCAUCAGGAUAAUAGGGAAUACACUUGACGUGAGGAGAACCUUGGCCUUCUGUUUGGACGGGAUAAGAAUCUUCAAAAAAUUUCCAAGACUCUUCCUCUCCAUUGCGGGUAGAUCAAAAGAAAUCUGCAGAACAGCUACCUGGGCAUCUGCGCUUACCUUUGCAGAAUACUAUGCCAUCCUGGGGGAUUCAGCUGCAGAUGCCAAAUUUUGUGCUAUCAUCCAUAUCAGACUCAACUUCAAAGUCCCAGCCUCCAGUGGUGGGCACUGCUCAGGAGUCACCUACAGUGGAGCACCCACAAGGACACUACUCGAAGAAGUAGUAAUAGUUACCUUAUGCAGUAAUGAUGGUUCUUUGAGAUGUGUGUCCCUAUGAGUGCUCCACAGCCCACCCUCCUCCCCUCUACUUUGGAGUUCUUGUCAUUGACUCUGCAGUAGAAAAGGAACUGAGGGUCACCCGCGUAUGCUGGCUGACCUUGUGGCAGGUGAGGAGCUGCGCUUGUGAGGGCGUGAUGGACUGCUACCAAAGUUCUUCAAUCAGCAGCGCAGGGAUGCAGACACACCUACAGUGGAGCACCCUUAGGGGGACACCUCUCGAAGAACUGUCGUUACUGUACAAGGUGACUAACUUCUGCUUAGUUGACAAGUUCAAUACAUUGUACAUAUUUUAUUUUAAACUUUGUAUCUGGGUACAUUAAAAUAUUUAAAAAUUAA